GCCGUGGCUUAUUCUUCAGGUACCGUCAUUAUCGUCCCUGACAAAAGAGGUUUACAACCGAAGGCCGUCAUCCCUCACGCGGCGUUGCCGCUUCAGGGUUUCCCCCAUUGAGCAAAAUUCCCGA
Molecule: ribosomal RNA, 124 nt
Filed under: uncultured bacterium
Lineage: Bacteria
Description: partial 16S ribosomal RNA
Source: RNAcentral